GUUCUUAUAUUCCACAGUCUCCACGUUAAACCCGAUGGUAGGAAUAGUUGUGACGAUCUCUCCAAGCUUGAGUUUGUAGAGAAUGGUCGUCUUACCAGCAGCAUCAAGACCAACCAUCAGAAUUCUCAUCUCCUUUUUGGCAAACAGCCGACUGAAGAGCUUAGCGAAGGUGAGCCCCAUUUCUGUACGUAACGUAGAAGUUCCUCUGAGAGCUGCACAGAGGUGUAUUGAAAGGGAUGGAGAAAGCAAGAAAAAUCGAGCUUCAGAGCAACGCGUAAU
This 279-nucleotide unclassified non-coding RNA is filed under the name Hevea brasiliensis (rubber tree). The record is from RNAcentral. Lineage: Eukaryota; Viridiplantae; Streptophyta; Magnoliopsida; Malpighiales; Euphorbiaceae.